UACGAAGGGGGCAAGCGUUGUUCGGAAUUACUGGGCGUAAAGGGCGCGUAGGCGGCCGGUCAAGUCAGAUGUGAAAGUCCUGGGCUCAACCUGGGGACUGCAUUUGAUACUGACUGGCUUGAAUUCGGGAGAGGAUAGCGGAAUUCCCAGUGUAGAGGUGAAAUUCGUAGAUAUUGGGAAGAACACCAGUGGCGAAGGCGGCUAUCUGGACCGACAUUGACGCUGAGGCGCGAAAGCGUGGGGAGCAAACAGG
RNAcentral lists this ribosomal RNA (253 nucleotides) under uncultured bacterium. RNAcentral's name for it is "partial 16S ribosomal RNA". It matches the Rfam family "Bacterial small subunit ribosomal RNA", at positions 524 to 776 of the family's 1533-position model. The record is from RNAcentral.